RNAcentral lists this long non-coding RNA (314 nucleotides) under Elaeis guineensis (African oil palm). RNAcentral describes it as "long non-coding RNA (EGUI_LNC068248)". Lineage: Eukaryota; Viridiplantae; Streptophyta; Magnoliopsida; Arecales; Arecaceae. The record is from RNAcentral.
CAGUUUAAAGACGACAGAAUCAGAAUCAUUCUAGUUUCCCCGCCAUCUUGUUUCCUGUUGUCAGUCUUCCCGUUUUUCAGCAGUGCCAUUUCUGUAGCUUCUCUCCAAUAACUCAGGUUUAUUUCUCUCCUUGAUCAGAAGGGAACAGCAGAGCUAUGAAAAACUACUGGUCCUUACUAUGUUAUAGCGAGCAUCUUCCAGCUUUCACCUCUGUUUGAAAGACAUCAAUAGAGCAUGUAUAUCUUUGGCAGGCACAUGACAGUGGACAGAUCGGUUUAUGGUUCAGUUAUGUGCAGAUCUUUGCUGGUUAUCCC